Small nuclear RNA from Salvia hispanica, 106 nucleotides. Lineage: Eukaryota; Viridiplantae; Streptophyta; Magnoliopsida; Lamiales; Lamiaceae. The record is from RefSeq and is a predicted model, not a curated record.
GUUUGUGCUUUGACAUCUGAUGAAAUUGGAAUGAGACAAAGAAGAUUAGAAUAAUUAUUGCACAAGGAUAAUACACAUAAAUCGAGACAUAGGCUUAAACAUAUGU